This is a long non-coding RNA of Alosa sapidissima (American shad), 502 nucleotides long. RefSeq lists it as uncharacterized. The transcript is spliced from 3 exons. The record is from RefSeq and is a predicted model, not a curated record. NCBI's taxonomy places the organism in Eukaryota, Metazoa, Chordata, Actinopteri, Clupeiformes, Clupeidae.
AGUUGCGUCCGUCGCGGGUCAGGUUAUAGCCGGCUGGGCAGGCACAACGGUACCCUCCGGGGGUGUUCACACAGGUGUGGAGGCAGAGACGACCCCCCUGGCCCAUGUGGAAGAGCUCACACUCGUCAAUAUCUGGACAGACAGGUCCCCCCAUUCAUGCACGGAGAGGAGGCGCACUCGUUUAUAUCUGAAAGAAGAAGAGGAGGCACAUUCGUUUAUGUCUGAAAGAAGAGGAGGAGGAGGCACAUUCGUUUAUGUCUGAAAGAAGAGGAGGAGGCACAUUCGUUUAUGUCUGAAAGAAGAAAGGGAACACAGUUCAGGCAGAAAGGGAUCCGUGGUGGACGCCAAACAACUGGAUCUGCUGUGUCGGACAGGCUGUUGUCCGGACCAGGUCAGGGUUUCUUUACACUGACGUGUCUCAGAGCCUACCAGCUCAUAGCCUGGGUCACACAGGAAGUGAACCUCAUGACCCGGAAGCAUCAUUUUGCCCAUCUUCUUGCCG